UGAAUAGUUUUAGGUGUUGGU
This 21-nucleotide non-coding RNA is filed under the name Arabidopsis thaliana (thale cress). Lineage: Eukaryota; Viridiplantae; Streptophyta; Magnoliopsida; Brassicales; Brassicaceae. The record is from RNAcentral.